UUCCUCAGAAAGGAUCCUACUAACACUACACAACCCAGUAUUUUUGAGCCCAUUGAUGUAUCUACGGAGCAACCAUACAAUAAACAGAGAAUCAAGAUAGAAGAAUUGGAAUUUUUGAGAAAUGGAACAUCCAAAACACAGAAUAUUGGUUCAGAAGGAAGAAUUCUGAGAGUUGGCGUUGAACAUUAUGAAAUUUUAGGAUCAGCAAAUGAUGAAGCUAUAUGUAAUUUACUGUCAGCAAACAGGAAUGGAGCUGUCUGUUAUUCCAAUAAUCUACCGCUUUGUGCUCUCAAUAAGAAACGAAAUAUAUAACCGAAUUUUAUUCAACUUCCGGAUUUGAUGGACUCAAACAAGUGAACACUGAAUACUUCUCGGUCACCAGACAAGAACUCUGGGAAUGUAAAUAUGCUGACGGUGAAAUAUUCGGGAGAAGACUGACAGAGCUUGUGGGAUCUAUACCUGUAGCGGAGAUAGAAUACUAUAGUGGGAUCAGUGUGUGGAGAUACAGACUUGAUAGCUCAACAUACAGUGUCAAAAUAAGAGAAAUAUUUUAUUACAAGCCAAACAAUGAAAGAAUAGGCCUACCUGUCAAAUUUGGUGAGUUGGCUGAU
This is a long non-coding RNA of Nilaparvata lugens (brown planthopper), 611 nucleotides long. RefSeq lists it as uncharacterized. The transcript is spliced from 4 exons. The record is from RefSeq and is a predicted model, not a curated record. Lineage: Eukaryota; Metazoa; Arthropoda; Insecta; Hemiptera; Delphacidae.